RNAcentral lists this ribosomal RNA (398 nucleotides) under uncultured bacterium. Its description in RNAcentral is "bacterial SSU rRNA". It matches the Rfam family "Bacterial small subunit ribosomal RNA", at positions 28 to 410 of the family's 1533-position model. The record is from RNAcentral.
GAUGAACGCUGGCGGCGUGCUUAACACAUGCAAGUCGAACGAAGCACUUCAAUCGAUUUCUUCGGAAUGAAGUUUUAGUGACUGAGUGGCGGACGGGUGAGUAACGCGUGGGUAACCUGCCUCACACAGGGGGAUAACAGUUGGAAACGGCUGCUAAUACCGCAUAAGCGCACAGUACCGCAUGGUACAGUGCGAAAAACUCCGGUGGUGUGAGAUGGACCCGCGUCUGAUUAGCUAGUUGGCAGGGCAACGGCCUACCAAGGCGACGAUCAGUAGCCGACCUGAGAGGGUGACCGGCCACAUUGGGACUGAGACAGGCCCAAACUCCUACGGAGCAGCAGNGGGAAUAUUGGCACAAAUGGGGGAAACCCUGAUGCAGCGACGCCGCGUGAGCGAAG